This 70-nucleotide small RNA is filed under the name Arabidopsis thaliana (thale cress). RNAcentral's name for it is "ATSL088740". The record is from RNAcentral. Lineage: Eukaryota; Viridiplantae; Streptophyta; Magnoliopsida; Brassicales; Brassicaceae.
ACCUCUUGGAAAAAUAUAUUCAUUUCGGUGAAAUCUAAGUGUUGAGCUCGCUCUUCACAAGACUAGAUUG